CCUUCAGCAGUAUAUAAGCCGCCCAGGAACAAGUCACUACACGGCUUCAGUCUUCACUUCUUGAGCUUCUUAGACUUCACACAUACCGUCUCAGCAUGUCACCCAAGAAGGCCAAGAGGAGGGCAGGAGGAGGAGAGGGUUCCUCCAAUGUCUUCUCCAUGUUUGAGCAGAGCCAGAUUCAGGAG
This is a long non-coding RNA of Sinocyclocheilus anshuiensis, 185 nucleotides long. RefSeq lists it as uncharacterized. The record is from RefSeq and is a predicted model, not a curated record. The transcript has 2 exons. Lineage: Eukaryota; Metazoa; Chordata; Actinopteri; Cypriniformes; Cyprinidae.